GCCAGGCAUGGUGGCGUGUGCCUGUAAUCCCAGCUACUUGGGAGGCUGAGGCAGGAGAAUUGCUUGAACCCAGGAGGAGAAGGUUGCAGUGAGCCAAGAUGGUGCCACUGCACCCCAGCCUGGGUGACAGAGCAAGACUCUGUCUCAA
This is an unclassified non-coding RNA of Pongo abelii (Sumatran orangutan), 148 nucleotides long. It matches the Rfam family "Metazoan signal recognition particle RNA". Rfam says of the family: The signal recognition particle (SRP) is a universally conserved ribonucleoprotein. It is involved in the co-translational targeting of proteins to membranes. The record is from Ensembl. NCBI's taxonomy places the organism in Eukaryota, Metazoa, Chordata, Mammalia, Primates, Hominidae.